RNAcentral lists this ribosomal RNA (221 nucleotides) under uncultured bacterium. Its description in RNAcentral is "partial 16S ribosomal RNA". It matches the Rfam family "Bacterial small subunit ribosomal RNA", at positions 524 to 742 of the family's 1533-position model. The record is from RNAcentral.
GACAGAGGGUGCAAACGUUGUUCGGAAUUACUGGGCGUAAAGCGAGUGUAGGCGGUUUGGUAAGUCGGAUGUGAAAGCCCCGGGCUCAACCCGGGAAGUGCACUCGAUACUGCCAAGCUAGAGUAUCGGAGAGGUUGGUGGAAAUUCUCGGUGUAGAGGUGAAAUUCGUAGAUAUCGAGAGGAACACCGGUGGCGAAGGCGGCCAACUGGACGAAUACAUG